Molecule: transfer RNA, 74 nt
Organism: Babesia sp. Xinjiang
Lineage: Eukaryota; Apicomplexa; Aconoidasida; Piroplasmida; Babesiidae
Rfam family: tRNA
About the family: Transfer RNA (tRNA) molecules are approximately 80 nucleotides in length. Their secondary structure includes four short double-helical elements and three loops (D, anti-codon, and T loops). Further hydrogen bonds mediate the characteristic L-shaped molecular structure. tRNAs have two regions of fundamental functional importance: the anti-codon, which is responsible for specific mRNA codon recognition, and the 3' end, to which the tRNAs corresponding amino acid is attached (by aminoacyl-tRNA synthetases). tRNAs cope with the degeneracy of the genetic code in two manners: having more than one tRNA (with a specific anti-codon) for a particular amino acid; and 'wobble' base-pairing, i.e. permitting non-standard base-pairing at the 3rd anti-codon position.
Source: Rfam
GCCUUUGUGGCGCAAUUGGAUAGCGCGUCGGACUUCUAAUCCGAAGGUUGCGGGUUCGAGUCCCGCCGGAGGUA